This 301-nucleotide ribosomal RNA is filed under the name uncultured bacterium. RNAcentral describes it as "partial 16S ribosomal RNA". It matches the Rfam family "Bacterial small subunit ribosomal RNA", at positions 509 to 808 of the family's 1533-position model. The record is from RNAcentral.
CAGCCGCCGCGGUAAUACGUAGGUGGCAAGCGUUGUCUGGAAUUAUUGGGCGUAAAGCGCGCGCAGGCGGAUCAGUUAGUCUGUCUUAAAAGUUCGGGGCUUAACCCCGUGAGGGGAUGGAAACUGCUGAUCUAGAGUAUCGGAGAGGAAAGUGGAAUUCCUAGUGUAGCGGUGAAAUGCGUAGAUAUUAGGAAGAACACCAGUGGCGAAGGCGACUUUCUGGACGAAAACUGACGCUGAGGCGCGAAAGCCAGGGGAGCGAACGGGAUUAGAUACCCCUGUAGUCCCUGUCUCUUAUACC